This 638-nucleotide ribosomal RNA is filed under the name Salmonella enterica. RNAcentral's name for it is "partial 23S ribosomal RNA". It matches the Rfam family "Bacterial large subunit ribosomal RNA", at positions 711 to 1261 of the family's 2925-position model. The record is from RNAcentral. Lineage: Bacteria; Pseudomonadati; Pseudomonadota; Gammaproteobacteria; Enterobacterales; Enterobacteriaceae. RNAcentral also lists the same sequence under 1 other name.
AGACCCGAAACCCGGUGAUCUAGCCAUGGGCAGGUUGAAGGUUGGGUAACACUAACUGGAGGACCGAACCGACUAAUGUUGAAAAAUUAGCGGAUGACCUGUGGCUGGGGGUGAAAGGCCAAUCAAACCGGGAGAUAGCUGGUUCUCCCCGAAAGCUAUUUAGGUAGCGCCUCGUGAAUUCAUCUCCGGGGGUAGAGCACUGUUUCGGCUAGGGGGCCAUCCCGGCUUACCAACCCGAUGCAAACUGCGAAUACCGGAGAAUGUUAUCACGGGAGACACACGGCGGGUGCUAACGUCCGUCGUGAAGAGGGAAACAACCCAGACCGCCAGCUAAGGUCCCAAAGUCAUGGUUAAGUGGGAAACGAUGUGGGAAGGCCCAGACAGCCAGGAUGUUGGCUUAGAAGCAGCCAUCAUUUAAAGAAAGCGUAAUAGCUCACUGGUCGAGUCGGCCUGCGCGGAAGAUGUAACGGGGCUAAACCAUGCACCGAAGCUGCGGCAGCGAACGUAUCACCCAAGACAACUUUACGGAGUUGACGAUUGACGGAGCGAAGCGACGUCAAAGCGUUCAUUAAAGUCGAGUUGGCUUAGGGAUACGUUCGUUGGGUAGGGGAGCGUUCUGUAAGCCUGUGAAGGUGUGU